This 72-nucleotide transfer RNA is filed under the name Camelus ferus (Wild Bactrian camel). It matches the Rfam family "tRNA". Rfam says of the family: Transfer RNA (tRNA) molecules are approximately 80 nucleotides in length. Their secondary structure includes four short double-helical elements and three loops (D, anti-codon, and T loops). Further hydrogen bonds mediate the characteristic L-shaped molecular structure. tRNAs have two regions of fundamental functional importance: the anti-codon, which is responsible for specific mRNA codon recognition, and the 3' end, to which the tRNAs corresponding amino acid is attached (by aminoacyl-tRNA synthetases). tRNAs cope with the degeneracy of the genetic code in two manners: having more than one tRNA (with a specific anti-codon) for a particular amino acid; and 'wobble' base-pairing, i.e. permitting non-standard base-pairing at the 3rd anti-codon position. Lineage: Eukaryota; Metazoa; Chordata; Mammalia; Artiodactyla; Camelidae. The record is from Rfam by way of RNAcentral.
GAGGGUAUAGCUCAAUGGUAGAGUGCAUGCCUAGCAUGCACAGGGGGCUGGGUUCAAUUCCCAGUAUCUCCA